GAAGAAAUGGCUGAGUGGUUAAAGGCGAUAGACUGUAAAUCUAUUGAAUUUAUUCUUCGUUGGUUCGAAUCCAACUUUCUUCA
Molecule: transfer RNA, 83 nt
Filed under: Cafileria marina
Lineage: Eukaryota; Bigyra; Bicosoecida
Description: tRNA-Tyr
Rfam family: tRNA
About the family: Transfer RNA (tRNA) molecules are approximately 80 nucleotides in length. Their secondary structure includes four short double-helical elements and three loops (D, anti-codon, and T loops).
Source: RNAcentral